CAGUACCGUGAGGGAAAGGCGAAAAGAACCCCGGCGAGGGGAGUGAAAAAGAACCUGAAACCGUGUACGUACAAGCAGUGGGAGCCUCUUUAUGGGGUGACUGCGUACCUUUUGUAUAAUGGGUCAGCGACUUAUAUUCUGUAGCAAGGUUAACCGAAUAGGGGAGCCGAAGGGAAACCGAGUCUUAACUGGGCGUUAAGUUGCAGGGUAUAGACCCGAAACCCGGUGAUCUAGCCAUGGGCAGGUUGAAGGUUGGGUAACACUAACUGGAGGACCGAACCGACUAAUGUUGAAAAAUUAGCGGAUGACUUGUGGCUGGGGGUGAAAGGCCAAUCAAACCGGGAGAUAGCUGGUUCUCCCCGAAAGCUAUUUAGGUAGCGCCUCGUGAAUUCAUCUCCGGGGGUAGAGCACUGUUUCGGCAAGGGGGUCAUCCCGACUUACCAACCCGAUGCAAACUGCGAAUACCGGAGAAUGUUAUCACGGGAGACACACGGCGGGUGCUAACGUCCGUCGUGAAGAGGGAAACAACCCAGACCGCCAGCUAAGGUCCCAAAGUCAUGGUUAAGUGGGAAACGAUGUGGGAAGGCCCAGACAGCCAGGAUGUUGGCUUAGAAGCAGCCAUCAUUUAAAGAAAGCGUAAUAGCUCACUGGUCGAGUCGGCCUGCGCGGAAGAUGUAACGGGGCUAAACCAUGCACCGAAGCUGCGGCAGCGACGCUUAUGCGUUGUUGGGUAGGGGAGCGUUCUGUAAGCCUGCGAAGGUGUACUGUGAGGUAUGCUGGAGGUAUCAGAAGUGCGAAUGCUGACAUAAGUAACGAUAAAGCGGGUGAAAAGCCCGCUCGCCGGAAGACCAAGGGUUCCUGUCCAACGUUAAUCGGGGCAGGGUGAGUCGACCCCUAAGGCGAGGCCGAAAGGCGUAGUCGAUGGGAAACAGGUUAAUAUUCCUGUACUUGGUGUUACUGCGAAGGGGGGACGGAGAAGGCUAUGUUGGCCGGGCGACGGUUGUCCCGGUUUAAGCGUGUAGGCUGGUUUUCCAGGCAAAUCCGGAAAAUCAAGGCUGAGGCGUGAUGACGAGGCACUACGGUGCUGAAGCAACAAAUGCCCUGCUUCCAGGAAAAGCCUCUAAGCAUCAGGUAACAUCAAAUCGUACCCCAAACCGACACAGGUGGUCAGGUAGAGAAUACCAAGGCGCUUGAGAGAACUCGGGUGAAGGAACUAGGCAAAAUGGUGCCGUAACUUCGGGAGAAGGCACGCUGAUAUGUAGGUGAAGUCCCUCGCGGAUGGAGCUGAAAUCAGUCGAAGAUACCAGCUGGCUGCAACUGUUUAUUAAAAACACAGCACUGUGCAAACACGAAAGUGGACGUAUACGGUGUGACGCCUGCCCGGUGCCGGAAGGUUAAUUGAUGGGGUUAGCGGUAACGCGAAGCUCUUGAUCGAAGCCCCGGUAAACGGCGGCCGUAACUAUAACGGUCCUAAGGUAGCGAAAUUCCUUGUCGGGUAAGUUCCGACCUGCACGAAUGGCGUAAUGAUGGCCAGGCUGUCUCCACCCGAGACUCAGUGAAAUUGAACUCGCUGUGAAGAUGCAGUGUACCCGCGGCAAGACGGAAAGACCCCGUGAACCUUUACUAUAGCUUGACACUGAACAUUGAGCCUUGAUGUGUAGGAUAGGUGGGAGGCUUUGAAGUGUGGACGCCAGUCUGCAUGGAGCCGACCUUGAAAUACCACCCUUUAAUGUUUGAUGUUCUAACGUUGGCCCCUAAUCGGGGUUGCGGACAGUGUCUGGUGGGUAGUUUGACUGGGGCGGUCUCCUCCUAAAGAGUAACGGAGGAGCACGAAGGUUGGCUAAUCCUGGUCGGACAUCAGGAGGUUAGUGCAAUGGCAUAAGCCAGCUUGACUGCGAGCGUGACGGCGCGAGCAGGUGCGAAAGCAGGUCAUAGUGAUCCGGUGGUUCUGAAUGGAAGGGCCAUCGCUCAACGGAUAAAAGGUACUCCGG
Molecule: ribosomal RNA, 1991 nt
Filed under: human gut metagenome
Description: bacterial LSU rRNA
Rfam family: Bacterial large subunit ribosomal RNA
Source: RNAcentral